AGUCCAGACGUCCGUCCACCACCUCCUGAGCUGCAGAGACCAGGAGGACUCUCCUCCAAAGGCUUCUCUGAGCACAUCCGCCCAAGAGGAACGCAGCCGGGCCAGAAGAAAGAGCCCCCUCCCCCAACGCUUCCGCCUGCGGUCCUCAUUCGGUCCUCUCCCUCCUCUCUUCUAGCUUGACAUGCCUGCAGGGUCUCCUGGCGCGCACUGCCAAGCUGACCCCUUUAGGGGCGGCUUCCCCCCCCAAGGCGGCAGUGCACCUGCUUCACAUGGAGGAGGAAGCAAGUGGCCCCUCUCCGCGAAGCCAGGCCAGAACCGCAGAUGGAAGAGGGUGUCCCCUCUGGUGCUGUCCUUCAGCCUCUGCCCACUAGCUGGAGUCCGUGAGAAGAAUCGUCCUUCCUGAGCUGUCCUGGCUGUGCCUCUAAACCAAUGAAGAAGAGCUGCAGAUCGAAGAUUUGGAAUAAGAGGCAGGACAGCAAGGGAGGGAGCCCUGUUUCUCUCUCUGUGUGUGUGUGUGUGUUGCUUGAGCGCUUUUGUUGUUGUUAUAUAUAUAUUGUAUUUUUUAAUCUUUAGAUUCAUAAAUAGUCAAUUUUGACUGACCUGCCAUUUGUCUUUAUGAUCUGUGUGGCACCAGAUUACUUGUACCCCAAAGCUGUGAUCUGCCACCUUCCCAGUGGGGCUGAAAACUCAUAUGUGGGGAGGGGGUUGGUGGCAGGUUUGAGAGGGCUUUGAAAGGAGGCAUGCUAGGCAACGCAGCUACCCUCUUACUUUGCCCACAGAAUGCCUCUUGGCUUGGUCUGGGGGAGAAAUUCGAUUCAGAUUGCCUUUCAAGAUGAAUUGAUCAAACUGUCUGAUACAACAUUAGAACUGAAACGCAGCCAUCCUUUGAAAUGCACACUUAUCCGAAUUUUGCAAUGCGCUUCUCCAACUGAGUAAUGUUUACAGAAAUGCAUGUAUUGGGGGAAAAUGUGCCCAAAGUGAAAAUAUUGGUGAAACUAACAUACAAACAUGCAUCAUAUUAGGAUAAAUUGCUUGCAGAAAAUGUGUACCUUAGUCAAGAGGACAUACUAAAAUGUAUAUAAUAGGAUACAUUUGCACUACAAUGGUGAAGAAUUUUCAUGAGGAUUUUUUAAAAAGAAAAAAAAACACAAAUUGUGGCAGAAAUAUGGAGAACCGAAUUUUCAAACAAUGAGAUAUGGAGAGAACCAAAAUAUGCUGAUGAUUCCAUCCCUACUCUGAGCUCAGCCCCUGACAAACAUCCCUCAGCAAAGUUGCCCCAACCCCAAAAGCUGUGCAGGCCCUGCCAGCAACCGUCAGGGAUGCUGGGAGUAGUAGUCCAAUGCCAUCUGGAGGGCAUCGCCUUGGCUUCCCAGGUUACGGUCUAAGAGCACCUGAGGCUACCACAUUGCUGAAGGGAGGAAGACGUGGAUGUGGUCAGUUGUCUGGACUGGGGAUUGCCUGGGAAUCUGGAGCACCAUGGCAGCGAGGUGGGAGAGAAAGUGCAGGAAAAUAAAUAAAGAUGACCCUGUUCUAAA
Molecule: long non-coding RNA, 1535 nt
Organism: Rhineura floridana
Lineage: Eukaryota; Metazoa; Chordata; Lepidosauria; Squamata; Rhineuridae
Exons: 4
Source: RefSeq, a predicted model, not a curated record